UAAGCUGCUUAUGCCAGCCAGGGGAUGGCUCGGCUCAAGUGCUGACGAAGGACGUGCCAAGCUGCGAUAAGCCUCGGCGAGGCGCAUGGAGCCAUUGAACCGAGGAUGUCCUAAUGGGAAAUCCUAGUCUUCGGACUAAUCCGUCAGGAUGGGGAACGUCCCGGAUUGAAACAUCUUAGUAGGGACAGGAAAAGAAAUCAACCGAGAUUCCGUUAGUAACGGCGAGUGAAAGCGGAAAUAGCCUAAACCGAAUCCCGCAAGGGAGAUGUGGUGUUAUAAGCCGGUCCAAACGUCAGGGUAGAGAAGUCGAAAUGGCCUGGAAUGGCCUGCCAUAGAGUGUGAGAGCCACGUAGUCGUAUUUUAUCCUGACCGGGGCCGUGUCUUGAGUACCGUGCGUCGGAACUCGCGCGGGAAAUUGGGGGUCACCAACCUCCAAGGCUGAAUACACCUUGAGACCGAUAGCGUAGUAGUAGUGUGAACGAAAGCUGAAAAGUACCCCAAAUAGGGAGGUGCAAAGAGCCUGAAAUUGGCUGGCGAUAGUGCGUUAGGGCGCUUAAGGAUCUGUUCCUCGAAGGAAACGGCGGCAACGCCGCAGUACGAGAGGGAUUGCCGGCGUUCUAACAUGCGUUUUGAAGAACGAACCAGGGAGUGCAUAUUGGCGGCGAGGCUAAUUCUGAUAUAGAGGAAGCCGUAGCGAAAGCGACAGGCGCGCAUGAAAAGAGGCGCGACGUAUACAAGUGCGUGCAGUCGUCCGUAUGCGACCCGAAGCCGGGCGAUCUAGGCGCAGGCAGAUCGAAGCGUGGCGAAAGCUGCGUGGAGGAUCGUUAGAGGUGUUGAUAUGCAAAUCGCUCUCGUGACCUGCGUCUAGGGGUGAAAGUCCAAUCGAGGUCGGAAAUAGCUGGUUCCUCCCGAAACAUAUCGCAGUAUGACCUGGUCUGAGAUAGUCGGCGGAGUAGAGCACUGAUUGGGGAAGCCGGACUCGAAAGGGUCUGUUCUCUUGUCAAACUCCAAAACCGCCGUCGUCGUAGACGACCAGCAGUCCGGGCUGGGGGGUAAGCUUCUAGUCCGUGAGGGAGACAACCCUGACCGUGGUUAAGGUCCCCAAGUAUCGGCCAAGUGUCAACACUUAAGGGUGUCCUGGGUCAUAAACAACUGGAAGGUUAGCUUAGAAGCAGCUAUCCUUUAAAGAGUGCGUAACAGCUCACCAGUCGAGGUUUGGGGCCCCGAAAAUGGACGGGGCUCAAGUCGACUACCGAUACCACGGAGCACCGCAAGGUGAUCUAGUAGGAAGGCGUUGCGCUCGGGUAGAAGCAGGGCUGUAAAGUCCUGUGGACCGUGCGGAAACGAAAAUCCUGGCAAUAGUAACAGCAAAGUCAGGUGAGAAUCCUGACCACCGAAGGGGCCAGGUUUCCUCGGCAAUGUUCGUCAGCCGAGGGUUAGUCGGUCCUAAGACGUACCGUAAUUCGAGUACGCCGAAAGGGAAACAGGUUAAUAUUCCUGUACUAUCCAACAAUAAACUGACGUUUUUGGGCAGGCUGAGCAGCGUCGUCGCGCUGUCUAAGCACCGAAAUCCAUGGAGAGCCGUAAUGGCGAGAAGUGGAUGAAUGUGUAAUGGCGUAAGUCAGUUGCACCCGGGAACCCGUGAAAAGGGAGUUGGAUAUCCGUACCGAGAACUGACACAGGUGCCCCUAGCUGAAAAGGCUAAGGUGUGUCGGAGUAAACUGGCUAAGGGAAUUCGGCAAAUUGGCUCCGUAACUUCGGGAUAAGGAGUGCCUGCUGUGUAGACAGCAGGUCGCAGUGACCAGAGAGCUCUAACUGUCUAAUAUCAACAUAGGAAAUCGCAAACCUGUAAAGGCUAGUACGAUUUCUGAAUCCUGCCCAGUGCAGGUACCUGAAACCCCGGUUCAACGGGAAGAAGGGCCUGUAAACGGCGGGGGUAACUAUGACCCUCUUAAGGUAGCGUAGUACCUUGUCGCUUAAUUGGCGACUUGCAUGAAUGGAUCAAUGAGAGUUCUACUGUCCCUAGCCAGAGUCCGGUGAACUUUACAUUCUAGUGCACAGUCUAGAGACCUCUAGGGGGAAGUGAAGACCCCGUAGAGCUUUACUGCAGCCUGUCGUUGGGUUGUGGUUUUGGAUGUACAGUGUAGGUAGGAGACGUCGAAGCCGGUGCGCCAGCAUCGGUGGAGUCGCCAUUGGGACACUACCCUUCUGAAAUUACGAUCCUAACUCCAACGGAGGACAUCGAUAGGUGGGCAGUUUGCCUGGGGCGGGACGCCCUUGAAAAGAUAUCAAGGGCGCACAAAGGUUGACUCAAGUGGGUCGGAAACCUACUGAAGAGUGUAAGAGCAUAAGUCAGCCUGACGUUAUUCAGCACAGUAGUGGAUGACGAGACGAAAGUCGGUUCUAGCGAACUUUUGUGAUUCCCGCUUGGUGCGGGCCAAAAAUGACAGAAAAGUUACCUCGGGGAUAAUUGAGUUGUUGCCGGCAAGAGCACAUAUCGACCCGGCAGCUUGCUACUUCGAUGUCGGUUCUUUCCAUCCUGGCCGUGCAGCAGCGGCCAAGGGUGAGGUUGU
This 2573-nucleotide ribosomal RNA is filed under the name bioreactor sludge metagenome. Its description in RNAcentral is "bacterial LSU rRNA". It matches the Rfam family "Archaeal large subunit ribosomal RNA", at positions 1 to 2649 of the family's 2987-position model. The record is from RNAcentral.